This 1473-nucleotide ribosomal RNA is filed under the name Lutjanus vitta (brownstripe red snapper). RNAcentral describes it as "eukaryotic LSU rRNA". The stretch from base 812 to 965 matches the Rfam family "5.8S ribosomal RNA". The record is from RNAcentral. Lineage: Eukaryota; Metazoa; Chordata; Actinopteri; Lutjaniformes; Lutjanidae.
ACAAAGCUUCCGUGGGUGAACCUGCGGAAGGAUCAUUACCGGUUGCCCCCGGGUAACUCUACCGCAUAUCUUACCUCAGGGUAGGCCUUAUCUCAGCAGGGGACCCAAAUCCAUCAGUCUCACAUCCGAGCGUCUUCCUCGUCAAGGAUCCGUUGGGCGCUUAGAUGGGUAAAUGGCGAGCUUUGAGUUAUCCACGGCAGCCCAGGGUUGCCGCGUCAGGAUGGUUGAGAUAGGCUAGCGCGAGACCGUGAGAGUCCUGCCUGUGAGCGCUACGGGUCUUGCUGCGGGGCGUGGCAUCGGGCCCAGCGACCCUCGCGGGGUGCCGGUUUCCGCAUCGUCCAACACUUUUCUCGUCAUGAUUCCAGUGCCCGACAUAUCGAUCGGACUGCUCGCCCAGCACCGACUUCGACGUUCCUAACCGGCGCAGGGCCCCCGACAGGCACCCGACGUGGACGGAUAGUCUCACCGAGUCAGUGCGAGCGUUAACGGAUAUGAGUCGGUGUGUUAAUGCGUCAGCCAUGCCCGCUAUACCCACUCAGAGCCCGAAACCUCUGAACCUCAUCCACCAGCGCGGAUCCGGAGGUUUCGUCCAGGCUGCCCUCCGCGCGCCUCCGGGUACCCAACACUUCUCUCACCUUCGGGGUCAGGAGGGGGGUUCAAUGUCUCCUCCCCCGGUCUGUUCCCCAGCCGCUCCCGGCGGGUGGCUUAGCGGGAUGGAGCGCCCGGGGGUUAACUGACCAACCUUUGUAUAACGCCCCAGUAGUCUCCUAACUUGCGUACUUGGCAAACAAAACAAAACAAAAACUUUGACAACUCUUAGCGGUGGAUCACUCGGCUCGUGCGUCGAUGAAGAACGCAGCAAGCUGCGAGAAGUAAUGUGAAUUGCAGGACACAUUGAUCAUCGAGACUUCGAACGCACCUUGCGGCCCCGGGUUGCUCCCGGGGCUACGCCUGUCUGAGGGUCGCUUUGACAUCAAUCGGAAAGGCAGCUCUCCACGAGCCUUCUCGCGGAUGCGGCCGCCGCAGGCAUCCGUUGCCUUCAUCCCACUAAGCGCUGUCUGCUCGGGCGUCUCACGUCCACCGCGGUUGCGGUUGAGGCGCGGACUAUGUGGCCACCCGCCCGGCCGUAGUACCUGUUAGGGUCCAGUGCCCCUGCUCCUGUCCGUCUGACACCGGGUGACCUAACAGACCCGGGGAUAAGGGUAGACCAGGCGGGCGCCGCUUGUCUCGGGAGAGGCUGACGGGGGACAGACCCUGUAUCUCGAGCUGUCGGAGUUACUCGUGCGACCCGGUUUGGAAGGGAUCACUGCGGCUAGUAGUUCGAGCUUCAGCGGGCGACCUGAGUCUUUGGGCCGUCGUGGAGCAUGAGGAUCCCACCGGCUCGACGCGGCGCACUCCGCCUCCGGAGGCGUAACGGCCCCCCCAGGCCAUCCCGGAGCGCGUGAGCCCCCCCUUCCACUCGUGGGACGGGGG